CUCGCCCAGCCAGGCCGGCGCCGGAGCUGGGUCAGCGCAGUCAGUGAAAGCAGUGUACCGCCAUCUUUUUUGUGGGCAAAGAGUCCUUCGAGGUUUAUGUUUCCAAAGUAGGCUUCUCAGGAAGCCCAUAGAGAGACGUUCGAAAGAGAAUGGGCUCCUUGCACACUGAAAUACUGAGCCGAAUGGUUGGGGGUCGAAGUGGCAACCCAUGAAACCGAGAAUAAACGAGAGGCCUGCCCUGAGUAAAGUUGCAAAAGUUUCAGUCCAUGGACACUUGCUGCUGGAAGACAUGGGAGAGAGAGUCAAGCUACAGCAGUGGGACCAAACCUACAUUCAUCAUCUUCUGCCCUGUUUUACAAAGGAUUUGGGGAACGUUUGGAUCUGAUCUAGAAAAAUACUUUUCUGACCUCUGGUAGGUGAUGUGGGAUUGGGAAUAGGAGGCAGGGAGGGGAGAAGCUACUUCUAGUCCUGUCUAUAUAACUUAAGGCAUUCCCAUGGCAAGGGUUUCUUCUUCCUAUCAGUCCUCAGGACACUCUCCCUGCCCUUUUGUGUGACCCUUGUCCCAGGCUACCCCUUAUCUUCUUUUCUAGGCAGGAGGCUAGUUAAUCGCAGGUCUAUAAGAUCCCUCUUUGUCCCCUUCCAGGCCCAAAUUUUCAAAGUCCACCACACAUUUACUGAGCUAGCUAGGGAGGAAUUAGUGUAUCACAUAUGUUCAGAGCUGUGGCUACUUCCUCUCUGGGACAAUUUAGAUGGUGUAGACCAUAGGUGAGAGGAGAGGGGUGAAAGAGCUUGUCUCAGGCCACAGAGAUAGCAAAGGGGGCUGGCUUGAGCAUGGGCCUCCCUCUCUUCUCUAAUGGUCUUUCUGCAGGUUCACAUAGGUCAGCAAGUGCCAGCCGAAGUCAGUAGACAGAAAGGGGAAGCCAUGCAGAGAAGAAAGGAUUGAGAAGUGUGGAAUCCAGCAAAUAGAAGCAAGCAAGCAUUUCCAAGCAACAAACUGGUAGAAGGUUAGAGGAAUGGAUCUAGGAUCUCAUUUCCUCUCUUCUGAGGUUACAAGAAGAAAGUCACUCACCAAGGUCAAAGGAUGAGAUGCUUAGUCACAGAGUGAUUCUUCUGCUGGGUGUUGUGAGGGGUGGAAGCAGUGUGAGUUCUUCACUGAGACACUAAUAUUCUGUGCACUGAACUUGAACAUUUUAUACACAAUAUACAGACAUGAGUAUGUGCAGUGGAGUUGGGAAGUGUCUGCUCUUGGGUUAUAUUUAUUUGUGUCCACAUCUCAGCACUGAUGCCUCUUAGCUGCCGGAUUCAUUACUCAGAGGAAUGGAGCAAACAGGCAAACACUUAAUAUUGAUGCCUGACAGUCUUAGUCUUUCCCCAUAUUAUUUCAUCUCACUAUUUCACACUUAUGUGGUUUUGGAAUAGAACCUGGGCCUUAUACUUGCUAUGUUAAGUCUCUUCCACUGAGUAACACCCCAGCUCUAACUAAUUCAUUUUAACUUGGGAAGGACAAGAAUGCCUUCAGCUCCUGACCCAUCUUCUGACUUGAGCUGUGUAGCACCUGGGGCUAUUCAGCAGCAUGGGGUACUGCAAACUGGAGCCAGAUGGAUAGAGCUUAAACCUGGCCCUUUCCAUUGCAUCUUGGGUAACCUGGAGCAACUUGCCUAACCUCCCUGUGCCUCAGUAUUCGCCCCUGUGAGGUGGGGAGAACUUGGACCUUUGUCUUAGAGUUCUUAGGAGGACUGUGGUCCCUUGGAAGGAUGUGUCUGAUGUGGAACAAGUGUUCAGCAAAUGUGAGUUGUUCAAUGCCAUGUUCCUCUGUAAUGUUUUCUUCUGGCUAUAUGUCAUGGUUGCAUGUCCCUUCCCCAGCCUCCCCCACACUCCAGCUGUUGA
Non-coding RNA from Cricetulus griseus (Chinese hamster), 1887 nucleotides. NCBI's taxonomy places the organism in Eukaryota, Metazoa, Chordata, Mammalia, Rodentia, Cricetidae. The record is from RefSeq and is a predicted model, not a curated record.